Long non-coding RNA from Humulus lupulus (European hop), 811 nucleotides. RefSeq lists it as uncharacterized. NCBI's taxonomy places the organism in Eukaryota, Viridiplantae, Streptophyta, Magnoliopsida, Rosales, Cannabaceae. The record is from RefSeq and is a predicted model, not a curated record. The transcript has 4 exons.
UCCAAAUAAACGUGGACGCCAUAAAGGAUUGAACACGCGGGAAAAGAGGGAACAGUUGGGGCAUCCUCUCCCUCUCGAGUGGGAUGUGCGGGGGAGAACAUAUAAAGAGAUCGGAGAGUACAGCUCAAAUUUCUCAAGAGAGCUCGGAUUACUUGUUCGACAGUACCAAAUGCCUCGAAAGAAAGAAUACUUGCACAUUUGGAAAAACGUUCUGUGGUCAACAAGGAAAAUAGAAGGAAACUGAAAGAGCUUAGCUAUGGAGGUUCUCAGUCAAUCCAAGCCCUACGCUAUAAAAAGCGCAAUUUAGAGACUGGGCAACUUGAGUCCAUCCCGGAUAGCUAGAUGGAUACUCACCAUAAAUCAGGCACAGGGUGGGUGACAGAGACAGCCAAAAAUACUUGGGAGGAAUUGCGUGCAUACCGCGACACACAGCAGACACAGGCAACUGAUACUGAGAGUUCCACACCAGUUUCGAGUGCGCCUGAAGAUGAAGACAUAUCUUUGGUACAAACUGUCUUCGGAAACGACGGGGCCACCAGAAAGGAUAUGGACGUAUCCUUAACAUAAGGGGCCGAACUCCAUUUGAUUUUCGUCCUUCACAAACUAGAGAUGAAGAGUUGUCUGAGAUGAGAGAGCGUCUUCGACAGUUAGAGGAGCAUGUCCGGACUCAUUGUAUCACCCCGGGAUCUCAAUGUGCCCCACCACCACCCGAUGAUCCCGAUGUUGGAGCACCGACUCAGUAGGACUUAUGUAUGAAUUUUAUUACAAUUGACUAUUACAUUAUCAUGUUUAAGAAAAUUCUUUAUUUUGA